RNAcentral lists this ribosomal RNA (197 nucleotides) under Klebsiella pneumoniae. RNAcentral describes it as "partial 23S ribosomal RNA". It matches the Rfam family "Bacterial large subunit ribosomal RNA", at positions 2746 to 2925 of the family's 2925-position model. Lineage: Bacteria; Pseudomonadati; Pseudomonadota; Gammaproteobacteria; Enterobacterales; Enterobacteriaceae. The record is from RNAcentral. RNAcentral also lists the same sequence under 2 other names.
UAGCUAAAUGCGGAAGAGAUAAGUGCUGAAAGCAUCUAAGCACGAAACUUGCCCCGAGAUGAGUUCUCCCUGAGACUAUAAGUCUCCUGAAGGAACGUUGAAGACGACGACGUUGAUAGGCCGGGUGUGUAAGCGCAGCGAUGCGUUGAGCUAACCGGUACUAAUGAACCGUGAGGCUUAACCUUACAACGCCGAAG